UGGUGACGUUCUCCAGAAUCACUGCAGUGCUGUGAUGAAAAGUGCACUUGAACCCUUUUCCAUCUGACGGCUGGGCUCUCCCGAU
This is a small nucleolar RNA of Camelus dromedarius (Arabian camel), 85 nucleotides long. NCBI's taxonomy places the organism in Eukaryota, Metazoa, Chordata, Mammalia, Artiodactyla, Camelidae. The record is from Ensembl.